GCUUCUCCUAAAGCAGAAAGCACUGUGACCACCCUCAGUCACAAGAUUCUGGGCAUAGGCUGGCCUCACAGGGCUACAAAGACCCCACCUUGGCAGAGAUGCGGACAUCUUCCUGAGACUGGGCCUGGGUUAAUUCUGCUUUAAUUUAUUAUGUCACUAUUAUUAAUUUAUUAUGGCUAUUGAUUAGAGUCCUACAGGCACCAGGUCCAAUAUCAGAGGUGAUGAGAAGCCACAUAGGAACAAGUGGUCCCUGAGACUCACCACAGAUUCUCAGAACAACUCCUGCGGGUCACACUCAGAACUGUGUGAGUCAAAGAAGCAAACAACUAAAGCACUCUGGGAAAGAAAUGUUCUACACAGUGAAGUGACAGGAAGGAGAACGGUAGGACUCUGAAGCCGUGAUGAUUUAAGCCAAAUCCCAGGGCAGAGAGACUGUAAGCACAGUAUUUACUACCCAGCGACUGACCCUGGACUGUGGACUGUUCGCUCUGGUUGCUGAAGUUCAUUUGUACUCAGGAAGGCCUUAACCUUCUGUCUCGGCCUCCACGCUGUGCCACCAUGACUCUGCCAGCAGUUCAGAACAUCGUCUGUAGGGACACCACCACCAUCUCCAAACCUCCCCUCCCCUGCACCUACAUUGGGGAAGUCCAGGCCCAGUUUGAACUUCUCAUUCAGCCACUGGCUUCUGUCAAAGUCGGGAGCUGUGGUGAACAAGAUAAUAUGAAAUCAAAGGACCCAUGUGUUCAAACCCCUUUCCCAAGACUUUCCCAAAGACUCAGAGACAAGACUCUCCAAGGCAGUACACCUGCAAGCUGACUCACGAAGUCACACUGCAAGCUUUCAAGAUUG
This is a non-coding RNA of Rattus norvegicus (Norway rat), 849 nucleotides long. The record is from RefSeq and is a predicted model, not a curated record. NCBI's taxonomy places the organism in Eukaryota, Metazoa, Chordata, Mammalia, Rodentia, Muridae.